GAUGAACGCUGGCGGCGUGCCUAACACAUGCAAGUCGAGCGAUUUACUUCGGUAAAGAGCGGCGGACGGGUGAGUAACGCGUGGGUAACCUGCCCUGUACACACGGAUAACAUACCGAAAGGUAGUGCUAAUACGAGAUAAUAUACUUUUAUCGCAUGGUAGAAGUAUCAAAGCUCUGGCGGUACAGGAUGGACCCGCGUCUGAUUAGCUAGUUGGUAAGGUAACGGCUUACCAAGGCGACGAUCAGUAGCCGACCUGAGAGGGUGAUCGGCCACAUUGGAACUGAGACACGGUCCAAACUCCUACGGGAGGCAGCAGUGGGGAAUAUUGCACAAUGGGCGAAAGCCUGAUGCAGCAACGCCGCGUGAGCGAUGAAGGCCUUCGGGUCGUAAAGCUCUGUCCUCAAGGAAGAUAAUGACGGUACUUGAGGAGGAAGCCCCGGCUAACUACGUG
This 453-nucleotide ribosomal RNA is filed under the name uncultured bacterium. Its description in RNAcentral is "bacterial SSU rRNA". It matches the Rfam family "Bacterial small subunit ribosomal RNA", at positions 28 to 507 of the family's 1533-position model. The record is from RNAcentral.